ACAGUGCGCGCUGCGCUCCGCCCCACUCGGUUCCGCUCCGCAGAGCCGGCGCGGCCAGGGCGCGGGGAGGGCGGCAGUCGGCCCCGACGCCUGCAGCCUCACGCGCUCCCUCGGCGGCGGCACCUGGGCUCCCCGACCGCUCCCCCGAGGCCACACUCGCAGUGCCCGUGGGAGGGGCUGUGUGCCCGCGACCUGUCGGGACCGCGGCUGCUCGGCAAGAGGGCAAGGGCCAAGACCGCACGACGGCACACGCGGGACAGGUCCCUGGAUGAGAAGGAGCUGACAGCAGCCGAGCCCCACCUUCUCUGUGUGCUGGGGAGCGGGGCUGCGCCGCCCCGGUGGCCCAAUGCCGAAGAACAGCAAGGUGACUCAGCGCGAGCACAGCAGUGAGCAUGUCACGGAGUCGGUGGCCGACCUGCUGGCCCUUGAGGAGCCCGUGGACUAUAAACAGAGUGUCCUGAACGUGGCCGGCGAGGCAGGUGGCAAGCAGAAGGCGGCGGAGGAGGAGCUGGAUGCGGAGGACAGGCCGGCCUGGAACAGCAAGCUGCAGUACAUUCUGGCCCAGAUCGGCUUCUCCGUGGGCCUCGGCAACAUCUGGAGGUUCCCCUACCUGUGCCAGAAAAAUGGAGGAGGUGCCUACCUGGUGCCCUACCUGGUGCUGCUGAUCAUCAUUGGGAUCCCGCUCUUCUUCCUGGAGCUGGCUGUGGGCCAGAGGAUCCGCCGCGGCAGCAUCGGCGUGUGGCACUACGUGUGCCCCCGCCUGGGUGGCAUCGGCUUCUCCAGCUGCAUAGUCUGCCUCUUUGUCGGGCUGUAUUAUAAUGUGAUCAUCGGGUGGAGCAUCUUCUACUUCUUCAAGUCCUUCCAGUACCCGCUGCCCUGGAGUGAGUGCCCUGUCGUCAGGAAUGGGACCGUGGCAGUGGUGGAGCCAGAGUGUGAGAAGAGCUCAGCCACUACCUACUUCUGGUACCGAGAGGCCUUGGACAUCUCCAACUCCAUCUCGGAGAGCGGGGGCCUCAACUGGAAGAUGACCCUGUGCCUCCUCGUGGCCUGGAGCAUCGUGGGCAUGGCUGUGGUCAAGGGCAUCCAGUCCUCAGGGAAGGUGAUGUAUUUCAGCUCCCUCUUCCCCUACGUGGUGCUGGCCUGCUUCCUGGUCCGGGGGCUGCUGCUGCGAGGGGCCAUUGACGGCAUCCUCCACAUGUUCACGCCCAAGCUGGACAAGAUGCUGGACCCCCAGGUGUGGCGGGAGGCGGCCACCCAGGUCUUCUUCGCCCUGGGGCUGGGCUUCGGGGGCGUCAUCGCCUUCUCCAGCUACAACAAGCAGGACAACAACUGCCACUUCGACGCCGCCCUGGUGUCCUUCAUCAACUUCUUCACCUCGGUGCUGGCCACCCUCGUGGUGUUCGCCGUGCUGGGCUUCAAGGCCAACAUCAUGAACGAGAAGUGUGUGGUCGAGAACGCCGAGAAGAUCCUGGGGUACCUCAACACCGACGUCCUGAGCCGGGCCCUCAUCCCUCCGCACGUCAACUUCUCCCACCUGAGCGCCAGGGACUACGCCGAGAUGUACAAAGUCAUCAGGACCGUGAAGGAGGACCGUUUCCCCGCCCUGGGCCUCGACCCCUGCCUUCUGGAGGACGAGCUGGACAAGUCCGUGCAGGGCACAGGCCUGGCCUUCAUCGCCUUCACCGAGGCCAUGACGCACUUCCCCGCCUCCCCGUUCUGGUCGGUCAUGUUCUUCCUGAUGCUCAUCAACCUGGGCCUGGGCAGCAUGAUCGGGACCAUGGCGGGCAUCACCACGCCCAUCAUCGACACCUUCAAGGUGCCCAAGGAGAUGUUCACAGUGGGCUGCUGUGUCUUUGCAUUCUUCGUGGGGCUGUUGUUCGUCCAGCGCUCCGGAAACUACUUUGUCACCAUGUUUGAUGACUACUCGGCCACCCUGCCGCUCACCCUCAUUGUCAUCCUUGAGAACGUCGCGGUGGCCUGGAUCUAUGGAACCAAGAAGUUCAUGCAGGAGCUGACAGAGAUGCUGGGCUUCCGGCCCUACCGCUUCUAUUUCUACAUGUGGAAGUUCGUGUCUCCACUGUGCAUGGCUGUGCUCACCACGGCCAGCAUCAUCCAGCUGGGGGUUACGCCCCCGGGCUACAGCGCCUGGAUCAAGGAGGAGGCUGCCGAGCGCUACCUGUACUUCCCUAACUGGGCCAUGGCGCUCCUGAUCACGCUCAUCGUCCUGGCCGUGCUGCCCAUCCCCGUGGGCUUCGUCCUGCGGCACUUCCACCUGCUCUCCGACGGCUCCAACACCCUCUCCGUGUCCUACAAGAAGGGCCGCAUGAUGAAGGAGAUCUCCAACCUGGAGGAGAACGACGAGACCCGCUUCAUCCUCAGCAAGGUGCCCAGCGAGGCGCCCUCCCCCAUGCCCACCCACCGCUCCUACCUGGGGCCUGGCAGCACAUCGCCCCUGGAGACCAGCGGCAACCCCAACGGACGCUACGGGAGCGGCUACCUCCUGGCCAGCACCCCCGAGUCAGAGCUGUGACCACCGCCCCGCCCUGCCUGCCUCGUCCCCCGCUCCCCGCCAGCCGGCCUGCCUGUCCCAGCCUGGCCUCUCCUUCCGGGCCAGGCCCUCCGCCCAAGGGGAGGGGGCUGCCCUGCCUCAUCCCCCACCCCGAUCCCGGCCCAUUUCUGCCCCCUCAAUCUGAGUGGGUGCUGGGAGAAGCUCUGGCCCCCAGUCUAGGCCCCCAAUGCAGCUAACCUUCUGAGAGCCUCGUACCAAAUUGCAGCUGAGUAGCUGGAACCAUCUAGAAAUCCCGAUUCCCAGCGCAACACAGGGCCACUCUAGGGGUCACUCCGCUCUCCCUUUCUCCCUGGCACCUGGCACCUGCAGUUCUGCGGUCUCAGGGCCCUUUAGGUCUGUGCUGCCAGGCAGGGGUGGUGCUGGGAGGUACCGGGGUGGGUUGGAUAGCCGUGUCUCAUCCUGACUUAGGGGUGGGUCAGAUGUGCCAGGACUCAGGGCUCAGACUUGGGACGGCGUCUGCACAAGUCCCCAAGUUCUGUUUGGUGAGGCAGGUGGGGCCCUCUGGUUUGAGCAGCAGCCUGGGCCGCAGGGGUGGGGGGGCUGAGGGGGCUCCUCUGGCCCCAGCUCAGGGGGGAACCCCCAAGUCCUUGGCCCUGCCUUGGGUGGGUGGGGCGUGCUCUCAAAUCCUGCCUGGGGGGUUGAUGACUGGCCCCGGAACCCCUCCCACCUCCCUUAGGGCUUCUCCUGCCCUCUCCCUCCACCUGCCUCCUGGAGCCCUGGGUGGCGGCCCUGCCUCCCUCCUCAAGAGCGGGGGGGCACAGCACAUGGAGGGCACACCUGAUGGUUCCCAGCACAAUUCAGAUGGUUCGGAGCACAGCUGUGAAGCACACACCCCUUCCCCUCUUGCCUGGGGCCCGACUUUCUCACUAGUGGCAGCUUCUCCCCCAGAACAGCGGUCCCUGGACGUCAGGGGCUCACACCCGGGGAAAGAGAUGAUUUCACUGCCCCUUUGGGCCACCACCCCCUCCUUGUACAAGCACAGCCCCCCCCCUCGUGUGCACAUCAUGUGGGGACACCUCGGAAGCCUUUCCCAAGCUGCCUGGCCUGUGGCAGGGAGGGCCACGGACAGUGCUGUGGACACUGCAAGCUGCCAGGGGACGGGCCAGCCCUCUGUCCUGGGGCUCAGUCCCACACGUGCUGACCCAACUUACCUUCCCCUUCCCCAGAAGGGGGCUUCCUUUGGAGUAUAGACUCAGAGGAGCAGAACCUGACCGGGGAGCAGAAGUCUGCAGAGCAAUAGAUAGAAGAAUGGAAGGAUGGAUGGAUGGAUGGAUGGAUGGAUGGGUGGAUGGAUGGAAGGAUGGAGGGAGGGAAGGAUGGAUGGAUAGAUGGAGGGAGGGAAGGAUGGAUGGAUAGAUGGAGGGAAGGAUGGAUGAAUGGAGGAGGGAAGGAUGGAUGAAUGAAUGGGAGGGAGGAAGGAAUUCUGGCUGGGACAGCAAAUCUCCAUCUUUGAGAGCUAUGGUGGGCAGGGCAGGGCGGGCCACAGUGCUUGGCCUGGCUCCCUUCACAGAGGGUCCUGACUCACUCUGUGCCUCUGACUGCUCUCAGCCUGGGAGGGACAGACUAGGCCCAGGGCGCCGUCCUUCACCCCUUAGUCUCUUGGUUCCUCCCCCUCCUUGGAGUCCACCCAGCACCUCCCUUACCCGUCCCCCCACCCCGUGCUCCCAUUUGCAGCCCUCUCAGCCACACCCAUCCUUCCUGCGUGUGUGAGGGGAGAGGGAGACCCACAUCUCCCCAAAAACGUGAGCUUUGGGGGCACAACAUCCCCCCUUAGGCCUCCUCACCUGACACCACCUGCUCCCUGGCCCCGUGCCUGAUCCCAAGCAGAAAUAGCAACAGGAAGCACAGGGCGCCGGGAGAGACACUGGACUAAAUAUACUCUUCUGUGUAUUCUUUCUAUUGUAUAUUCAAUCUGUACAUGUGGGUGUAAAUGCUGGUAAAUGACAAACCCAAUAUUAUACUGUGGCUGGUGGACUAUUUUCAUCCUCAGUGCUGUACAGAUCUAUUUUCAUUGUAUAUUUGAGAUAUUUUUAAUUUUGUAGCGUGUCGCUGGCCCAGGCCCCAGCCUGCCAACCUGAGACAGGGUGACUGAGCCGGGCAUCUUCUCCGUCCUCGUGGGCUGGGUAGUGCUUGUAGCCACUGCUGUGAGCAGGGCCCUAUCCUGCUGUGUCUGCUGUUAACUGUAGGGCCUGGAGCUUGGCAUGCGUGUGUGCGUGUGUGUGUGUGUGUGUGUGCACAUACGUGGGUGUGGGUGUGUGUAGGCUGCUAAUUUGUGUUUCCCAGCGUUCACCACAACCCUGAAGACCACGCCGCCGCCACCUCCUGCCCCUCCUCUCAGCUCCAUCAGGCGAGGUCGCAGGGCAGGGUCCCGUGGGAAGUGCCCUCUGUGGGAAAGGCACACGCUUCUGACGGGUGACACAUUGCCUUCACACCAGCGGGCUUGCCCGAAACGGGGAAGGGAGGUCUUGGGGGCACGGGGGAGGUCCUUAAAUUUCUUUCCCAGCCAGCCUCUUGCUGUGCCCACUGGAGGCACAAGCUCUUCACUCCCAGAGUAAGCGCUGGGUUUCUUAAGAGGACGAGACCCCAAGAGGGCAUCGGCUCACGGGGCCCCUGUCCUGUGUGUGUCCUUGACACAUGCCACCUGGGAGUGGGGCAGGGCCGAGAGCAGGUGGGGCAUCUGACCAGGUCAGACCAGCCCCAGAGCCCCCGCAGGAGCAGGAGGUGGCCAGAGGGGCAGGCCCCUAUGCUCCUGCACAGGGUCUCCACCCCAAUGACUUUGGUGCUGUCCUUGCAGUGCCCACAGGGGACAGAGCGGACCCAGGGCAGAGCAGGGCAGGGCUGUACCGGAAAGAGUCCCUGGUCCUGCCUCUGCUUGCCCUCCAGCCCCAGUCACCAGCUUCUUGCUCAGGGAGCCCUCUCUGCUGAGGCAGCUUGCAGCCGAGGCCCAGAUGGGGUGAGCCGGUGGGCACACAGGCUGGUGCCAGCCAGGUUGGCUUUUGCCCUCAAGCAGUAAGUCUGUGGGGGCUGCUGCUCUUCUAGUGCCCGGAGAAGCCCUCCUGAGUCAGUCUGCCACUGGCCACGUGGCUGGCAGGGGGCGGAAGCCGCAUGGGCCCAGGCCUGAGCGGGCUGCCGCGUUAUGAUGGGCAGGGGGCGGCCCUCUGCCCAUCCUCACUGCACCUCCCCCUCCCCACCAGAGCACAGGUUGGAAUGCACGCGACUCCCUGAGCCCUGAACCUGGGGGCCCACUGCCCCUUCACUGGAGCCUAGUGACUGGAGGCGAGGGGGGAGGGUCCGGGGUCCCCGCUCAUCCCAGCCCUGCUUUGUACAGACCCAAGCGCACCUGGCAGACGUCACUUUAGGUUCUGGCACCAGCUCAGAACAAUUCCAGUCCACGUGCCCCACACUAGACAAGAGUCCUGGGUCAUGACCGCUCAGCCCAGGGGAGGGAACAAGGCAUUGUCACCCCUGGAGACCCUCUUUCCUCUCUUUCCUCCCAUGGUGUACAAUAAAGCGUCUGUUCUUACCAAACCC
This 6100-nucleotide long non-coding RNA is filed under the name Sus scrofa (pig). RNAcentral describes it as "lncRNA (ENSSSCG00035033064.1)". The record is from RNAcentral. Lineage: Eukaryota; Metazoa; Chordata; Mammalia; Artiodactyla; Suidae.